This 40-nucleotide transfer RNA is filed under the name Distichophyllum brevicuspis. Its description in RNAcentral is "partial tRNA-Phe". Lineage: Eukaryota; Viridiplantae; Streptophyta; Bryopsida; Hookeriales; Daltoniaceae. The record is from RNAcentral.
GCCGGAAUAGCUCAKUUGGUAGAGCAGAGGACUGAAAAUC